This 377-nucleotide ribosomal RNA is filed under the name uncultured marine eukaryote. RNAcentral describes it as "SSU rRNA". It matches the Rfam family "Eukaryotic small subunit ribosomal RNA", at positions 1453 to 1828 of the family's 1831-position model. The record is from RNAcentral.
AUAACAGGUCUGUGAUGCCCUUAGAUGUUCUGGGCCGCACGCGCGCUACACUGACUGGUUCAACGAGUCUUCCCCUUGGCUGACAAGCCUGGGUAAUCUGCGAACGCCAGUCGUGAUGGGGAUAGAUUGUUGCAAUUUUCAAUCUUCAACGAGGAAUUCCUAGUAAACGCAAGUCAUCAGCUUGCAUUGAUUACGUCCCUGCCCUUUGUACACACCGCCCGUCGCACCUACCGAUUGAAUGGUCCGGUGAAAACUACGGACCGCGGCGGCUGCUCCUUUACGGGAGACGCCAUCCGCGGGAAAUUGUUUAAACCUUAUCAUUUAGAGGAAGGUGAAGUCGUAACAAGGUUUCCGUAGGUGAACCUGCAGAAGGAUCA